AGCUUUAUGCAGUGGCAAUAUUGUAGCCAAUGAGGUCAAACCGAGGCGUGAUUAUUGCUAAUUGUGCUGAAACUGAAGCUUGAUGAAAGCGGAGGGGCUGUGUUCCCAUUAGGGAAGAGCUGCUGACUUAUUUUUUUGUCGCACAUGCUCAUUAUG
Xenopus tropicalis (tropical clawed frog) is the source of this 156-nucleotide small nuclear RNA. Its record names the gene U4. It matches the Rfam family "U4 spliceosomal RNA". From Rfam's summary of the family: U4 small nuclear RNA (U4 snRNA) is a component of the major U2-dependent spliceosome. The record is from Ensembl. Lineage: Eukaryota; Metazoa; Chordata; Amphibia; Anura; Pipidae.